UAUUAUAAAACGCGGUAUCAAAUAAGUAUCGGCUUUUGUACUACCUUUAAUCCACCUUUAAGUACGACCUUGAAAAAACGUUAUUACAAAACGCAGUUUAUCGCAAGUCCUAUUACUAUCUGUAGUACAAAAGAUAAACCAUCGAGCCCCCUAGUUUAACUGCAGUACUUAGUCGACAAACGUCAAGUUCCGACAUUAUUUACUUUUGAGGUUAUUUGUUUUGUGAUGAAAAAAACGAAAGUGGAUAUAAAUAUGUGUGAUUUGGAAUACUUGGAUGUGUUAGAAUACUAUUGAGAGUGUCCGGGGACCCAACAGAAUGCGUCAUCGACAAAAUCUCUUCAAAUUACCUGACGACAAUUUUCGAUAUAAAUAUCGAUUUACGUUUUUCGAAAUAAUAGUCAAUUGAAUGCAUGAUGAUAAUCCAGGAUGAUCCUAUGAUGCUCAACUGGGCUCGCCACAAAAUUCAAGACUAUUUUGGCGUUUUGCACGCCGUAUCUCUGCCAGUAAUAUGCAAUGUUUGUAAAAGACUGGAAGCUUGCUAGAAUGUACAAAAAUGCCUAGAUGAGAAAGGGAACAAGAUUGUGUGAUGAAGAACAGUGUCCAACAUGUAGCAGUGCAUUUGACUGUAUAAAUAGACAUCGGAAUAAAAUAUAAUUUUCUACUUU
Molecule: long non-coding RNA, 665 nt
Organism: Helicoverpa armigera (cotton bollworm)
Lineage: Eukaryota; Metazoa; Arthropoda; Insecta; Lepidoptera; Noctuidae
Exons: 2
Source: RefSeq, a predicted model, not a curated record